CCAUAUUAGUUACGUCAACUAUCCCAAUAAAAUCUUUUUCGUUGAGUGUUAGAUGACCUUUGUUGGAAGAACAAAUCAGUUUUCUUUCUCCGGGAGUUUGAUUUCUACCCUGUGAGCAAUCCACUACACUUAAAAGCUCUCAUUAUUCAUUUAUAAUUAGCAUUGUUGUGAAUUUGUCUAUUAUGCUGUGGGUGGCUUGCAGAAGUACAUGGCAAACCUUUGCCCGGGAUUAUGCUUUGCCUGCAACCGGCAAAGGAUGAUGUGGGGGAACGUCCCCGGUAAACACUUGCAGUGCUGUGGCAUUUGUAAACAAGAAGUUAAACAAAUUGGCAGAUUCAAUCACAAAUGUGUGGUGUGCAAUAUGGUAGUGCACAAAAUCAAUUUAUUCAUUUCAAAUCGAUUCUCCCAGCCUGUAUAUGAAGAUCUCCCCAUCCCCGAAUUUGAGGAGUUCCCUCCGUUGUAAUAUUCUAAUAGACCAAAUCUAGAUCGAGUAAAUUUCCCUUGACAUGCCUAAUAGAUAUAUUACUGUGACGCAAUAUAUGAAAAAGUCUGGGAUGGAAUUCCCAGCAAAAUCAUUAGCAGUGCCAGUAACCGUGAAAGAAGCUUCAAAUGCACCAGAAGCAUUUACUUUUUAUACACAUUUCUUUGACUAUUCUAUUUUUAACGUACAGAUAGCAUAACAGGUAUGCGCAUGGUUGAAUUUCACAAGGAAUCGAAAAUGAAAAUGUCGAGCAACUGCACAGAUGCAUUGCAAAUGACCAGCAACUUUUAUAAUAGUCUAUUCACAACUAGCAUUUGCGUAAAUCACCUAGUUGCCUAGUUUCAGUUUCAAAUAAUAAUGAUCAACUACCGUUGUAAAUGCUCUAACCAUUACAAUUAGCAAAACACUUGAGCAAUAAUUAAAAAGGAAAAUACCAAUAAGUUGACCUUCUUUAUCUGCCUUAUUUCUAAGAUCUGAACACUUGUUUUGAGCCUGUUGUGUAGAAUUGCCAAUUACGACCAGCG
Long non-coding RNA from Mangifera indica (mango), 1005 nucleotides. RefSeq lists it as uncharacterized. NCBI's taxonomy places the organism in Eukaryota, Viridiplantae, Streptophyta, Magnoliopsida, Sapindales, Anacardiaceae. The record is from RefSeq and is a predicted model, not a curated record. The transcript is spliced from 2 exons.